GUUUAACGGCCGCGGUAUUUUGACCGUGCAAAGGUAGCGCAAUCACUUGUCCUUUAAAUAAGGACCUGUAUGAAAGGCAAAACGAGGGCUUUACUGUCUCCCCACUCAAGUCAGUGAAAUUGAUCUGCCCGUGCAGAAGCGGACAUAUACAUACAAGACGAGAAGACCCUUUGGAGCUUUAGACACAAGUCACCUAUGUUAAUAAUACUGCCCCCCAGUCAAAACUAAGUAGAGCUGACCCAUGUCUUCGGUUGGGGCGACCGCGGGGAAAAACAAAACCCCCACGUGGAGAUGAGACAAACCCCUUACAACCUAGAGGAACCCCUCUAAGUCACAGAACUUCUGACCAACAGAUCCGGCCACCCGCCGAUCAACGGACCAAGUUACCCAAGGGAUAACAGCGCAAUCCUCUUUAAGAGUCCCCAUCGACAAGAGGGUUUACGACCUCGAUGUUGGAUCAGGACAUCCUAAUGGUG
RNAcentral lists this ribosomal RNA (476 nucleotides) under Gymnorhamphichthys sp. RNAcentral's name for it is "partial 16S ribosomal RNA". It matches the Rfam family "Bacterial large subunit ribosomal RNA", at positions 1922 to 2555 of the family's 2925-position model. Lineage: Eukaryota; Metazoa; Chordata; Actinopteri; Gymnotiformes; Rhamphichthyidae. The record is from RNAcentral.